This 114-nucleotide ribosomal RNA is filed under the name uncultured bacterium. RNAcentral's name for it is "partial 16S ribosomal RNA". It matches the Rfam family "Bacterial small subunit ribosomal RNA", at positions 1388 to 1501 of the family's 1533-position model. The record is from RNAcentral.
CACCGCCCGUCACACCAUGGAAGUUGAUUGCACCAGAAGUAGUUAGCCUAACCGCAAGGAGGGCGACUACCACGGUGAGAUUCAUGACUGGGGUGAAGUCGUAACAAGGUACCC